CUUGUCUUCUCCAGCUCUGCUGCUUUUUUUUUUUUUUUUUUUUUUAAAGGUUUCUUGUCCUUUUUUAAGAAAACUAUUUCAUUUGUUUCUGCUUCUCUUCCUACUUUCCCCCCUCCCCUAACAAAACUUUCCUUUUUGCAUCUUCUUACUUGUUUCCAGUCUGUCUGUUGGACAAGACAACCAAGUGCAUAGCGCAACCUUAAUAAAGGACCAUUCGUUUUCCUGUUUCACUUUCUCUGGAAUUCCCUUCGAAGAGAGAAGAGGAGAAAAGAAGAGUCCCUGAAUGUAUUUACCAGCUGUUUUUACUUUUCUGUCUUCUUAGUUAUUUUUUAUUUUAUUUUGGUUUAAAGUUAUGCAAAGCUGUUGCAAGACGGAGAUUUUACCUAGGUAACCAAGACAGAGAUGGGAAGUUCUUUGGAAGAAGAUACAUGUCUUCUAGAGGGUUUGGACAGUGCUUAGAGUUUAAUAACUUGAAUCUUCACAUCCCCAUAAUAUAAAUUAUUCCUUUCAGACAUACUAACAUGCAAGAACAGCAGUAUGCUAGAAAUACUAUGUUUGAACAAGCAAUCUUUCUUUCUGUACUAUUAUUUGUCCAUACUUUACAAUAAGCCUCAGCCUGAUUACCAUAUCCAGUGUAAGGCUGUUAACAAGUCAAGAUUAUUUUUCCCCUAUAUAGGUUAAGGGGAAGUAGCAGCUUAACACCUCCUUUUGUUGCCAAAGAUCUUUAAAAGGGACAAGUAUGUAGAAGAAAAUUGCCCACGGGCAUUCCUUGCAUCUUGUAGAUUCAGAGGUUCAGCGUCAGAAGGGACUACACUGAUUAUCUUGUUUGAUCUACCUUAUAAAAGGGCAUAAAAGCCCAAACAGUUGAGCUACAGAGUAUGAUUUAGAGAAAUUCAUAUUUGUUUAAAGACCUUCAAAUGAUGGAGAAUUUGCCAUAUCCUUCAGUAAGUUGUUCCCACAGUUUAAUGUUACAAAUUGUAUUGGCUACUUUGUUACAGACUAAAAUUAAAAUGAGUAAAAAAAAAUAGCCUCAACUUCUGAAAUGGUUUGGAUAGGGAAAUCAGCAAGCAAAUGAAAAUUUCAGCCCACAGCAGCCCAGAUAAACACUGAUUGUAAAGUUUCACACCUGCUAUGUAUGACUUCAUCACCACAAAUGUACCAGGUAUGCUUCUCUAAAAGGUGUGCCAUAAACUUGCCUGCACUUUGAGUGAAUUAAGAAUGAUCCAUGGGUUCUGUUGUCCUUCAUUCCACCGGAGUCUGUCUCAUACCUAACCAGAUUUCAGUGGCGUGAAGCACAAGAGACAUGGAGCUGAACCAGCAACAAGAGGAACUACUUCCCACUGACACAAAGGAGGGAAACAGUCUUCAUGGAAAUUUGGAUACACCAAGCAUCCAAACAGAUAUCAAGCAUGCUGAGAAAUGGAGAGAAGCAGUACACCGAGCAUUUUAAUAACCCGAGUAUUUCUUGAAAAUCUCCAAUAGGGACCCAUUUAAAAAAAAUGUACUUUCUGCAUAAUACUUAAAAGAUUAAGAAGUCUACAAAGACCACAAGCUGCUUUCUUCAAAGCUCAAAUACCUUAUUAGCACGAAAUUAAAUCCUGAAGUGGAUAAGUUA
Molecule: long non-coding RNA, 1615 nt
Organism: Dromaius novaehollandiae (emu)
Lineage: Eukaryota; Metazoa; Chordata; Aves; Casuariiformes; Dromaiidae
Exons: 2
Source: RefSeq, a predicted model, not a curated record